Molecule: ribosomal RNA, 537 nt
Filed under: uncultured bacterium
Lineage: Bacteria
Description: bacterial SSU rRNA
Rfam family: Bacterial small subunit ribosomal RNA
Source: RNAcentral
GACUCCUACGGAGGCAGCAGCUAAGAAUCUUGCGCAAUGGGCGAAAGCCUGACGCAGCAAUUCCGCGUGGAGGACGAAGGCCCUCGGGUCGUAAACUCCUUUUGCGAGGGAAGAAGUUCUGACGGUACCUCGCGAAUAAGCCACGGCUAACUACGUGCCAGCAGCCGCGGUAAUACGUAGGUGGCGAGCGUUGUCCGGAUUUAUUGGGCGUAAAGAGCCCGCAGGCGGCUUGGCAAGUUUCGAGUGAAAUCUCCCGGCUCAACUGGGAGGGCGCUCGGAAAACUGCCAGGCUUGAGGCAGGGAGAGGGUGGAAUUCCACGUGUAGCAGUGAAAUGCGUAGAGAUGUGGAGGAACACCGAUGGCGAAGGCAGCCCCCUGGGCCAAUACUGACGCUCAUGCACGAAAGCGUGGGGAGCAAACAGGAUUAGAUACCCUGGUAGUCCACGCCCUAAACGAUGUCAACUAGGUGUUGGGUGGGUUAAACCAUUUAGUACCGUAGCUAACGCGUGAAGUUGACCGCCUGGGGAGUACGGCCGC